This 253-nucleotide ribosomal RNA is filed under the name uncultured bacterium. RNAcentral describes it as "partial 16S ribosomal RNA". It matches the Rfam family "Bacterial small subunit ribosomal RNA", at positions 524 to 776 of the family's 1533-position model. The record is from RNAcentral.
UACAGAGACUGCAAGCGUUAUUCGGAUUCACUGGGCGUAAAGGGUGCGCAGGCGGCCAAGUGUGUGAGGCGUGAAAGCCCGGGGCUUAACCCCGGAAUUGCACCUCAAACUACAUGGCUAGAGCAUUGGAGAGGGUAGCAGAAUUCACGGUGUAGCAGUGAAAUGCGUAGAUAUCGUGAGGAAUACCAGAGGCGAAGGCGGCUACCUGGACAAUUGCUGACGCUCAUGCACGAAAGCGUGGGGAGCAAACAGG